This 291-nucleotide ribosomal RNA is filed under the name Triticum aestivum (bread wheat). RNAcentral describes it as "partial small subunit ribosomal RNA". Lineage: Eukaryota; Viridiplantae; Streptophyta; Magnoliopsida; Poales; Poaceae. The record is from RNAcentral.
AUGGCGCCAUCACCUCGGCCGUACGCCUCUCUGCUGCUGCCAUCUCUCGUCCUGCUCCUCCUCGUCGCCUCCUCCCGCGCAGCGAGAGUGGGAGCAACCGCAAGAAACCAGGCAGCCCAGGACGGCCGCGCAGAGGAGGACGCCGGCGGCGAGGCGGCGGCGGAGGCGGAGGAUGAAGGUUGCGGCGGUGGCGCCGAAGGGGGAGAUGGAGGCGAUGAUGAGUGCUUGAUGAGGAGGACGCUGGUGGCGCACACCGACUACAUCUACACCCAGGGAGGAAACCACAACUAG